CCCACCGACACUCAGCUCACCUCACCAUGGACGAUGAUAUUGCUGCGCUUGUUGCAGACAAUGGCUCUGGCAUGUGCAAAGCCGGCUUUGUGGGUGAUGAUGCCCCCUGGGCGUUCUUCUCUUCCAUCAUAGGAUGCCCAAGGCACCAGGGUGUGAUGGUGGGCAUGUGUCAGAAGGAUUCCUACGUGGGCCACAAAGCCCAGAGCAAGAGAGGCAUCCUGACCCUGAAGUACCCCAUCGAGCACGGCAUUGUCACCAACUGGGAAGACAUGGAGAAGAUCUAGCACCAUACUUUCUACAACGAGCUGCGUGUGGCCCCCGAGGAGCACCCCAUGUUGCUGACUGAGGCCCCCCUGAACCCCAAGGCCAAUCGUGAAAAGAUGAUCCAGAUCAAGUUUGAGACCUUCAACACCCUAGCCAUGUAUGUGGCCAUCCAGGCUGUGCUGUCCCUGUAUGCCUCUGGCCAUACCACUGGCAUUGUCAUGGACUCUGGUGAUGGGAUCACGCACACAGUGCCCAUCUACGAUGGGUAUGCCCUCCCCCAUGCCAUCCUGCGUCUGGACCUGGAUGGCCGGGACCUGACAGACUACCUCAUGAAGAUCCUGACCGAGAGAGGCUACAGUUUUACCACCACAGUCAAGCGGGACAUGGUGGGUGACAUCAAGGAGAAGCUAUACUAUGUUGCCUGGAUUUCGAGCAGGAGAUGGCUACCACUGCCUCCUCCUCCUCCCUGGAGAAGAGCUAUGAGCUGCCUGAUGGGCAGGUGAUCACCAUUUGCAACAAGCGCUUCCAUUGCCCUGAGGCUCUCUUCCAGCCCUCCUUCCUGGGCAUGGAAUCCUGUGGCAUCCAUGAAACUACUUUCAACUCCAUCAUGAAGUGUGAUGUGGACAUCUGCAAGGAUCUGUACGCCAACAUCGCAGACAGGAUGAAGAAGGAAAUCACAGCCCUGGCACCCAGCACGACGAAGAUCAAGAUCAUUGUCCCCCUGAGCACAAGUACUCUGUGUGGAUCAGUGACUCCAUCCUGGCCUCCCUGUCCACUUUCCAGCAGAUGUGGAUUAGCAAGCAGGAGUAAAAUGAGUCCAGUCCCUCCAUCGUGCACCACAAGUGA
This is an RNA transcript of Perognathus longimembris pacificus (Pacific pocket mouse), 1110 nucleotides long. It is a transcript of the gene named actin, cytoplasmic 1-like, with no coding region annotated. The record is from RefSeq and is a predicted model, not a curated record. The transcript has a single exon. NCBI's taxonomy places the organism in Eukaryota, Metazoa, Chordata, Mammalia, Rodentia, Heteromyidae.